GACGAACGCUGGCGGCGUGCUUAACACAUGCAAGUCGAACGGAAAGGCCCUGCUUUUGUGGGGUGCUUGAGUGGCGAACGGGUGAGUAACACGCGAGUAACCUGCCCUUGACUUUGGGAUAACUUCAGGAAACUGGGGCUAAUACCGGAUAGGAGCUCCUGCUGCAUGGUGGGGGUUGGAAAGUUUCGGCGGUUGGGGAUGGACUCGCGGCUUAUCAGCUUGUUGGUGGGGUAGUGGCUUACCAAGGCUUUGACGGGUAGCCGGCCUGAGAGGGUGACCGGCCACAUUGGGACUGAGAUACGGCCCAGACUCCUACGGGAGGCAGCAGUGGGGAAUAUUGCACAAUGGGCGGAAGCCUGAUGCAGCAACGCCGCGUGCGGGAGGACGGCCUUCGGGUGGUAAACCGCUUUCGCCUGUGACGAAGCGUGAGUGACGGUAAUGGGUAAAGAAGCACCGGCUAACUACGU
RNAcentral lists this ribosomal RNA (467 nucleotides) under uncultured bacterium. RNAcentral describes it as "partial 16S ribosomal RNA". It matches the Rfam family "Bacterial small subunit ribosomal RNA", at positions 28 to 506 of the family's 1533-position model. The record is from RNAcentral.